GAUGAACGCUGGCGGCGUGCCUAAUACAUGCAAGUCGAGCGAACGGACGAGAAGCUUGCUUCUCUGAUGUUAGCGGCGGACGGGUGAGUAACACGUGGAUAACCUACCUAUACGACUGGGAUAACUUCGGGAAGCCGGAGCUACUACCGGAUGAUAUUUUGAACCGCAUGGUUCAAAAGUGAAAGACGGUCUUGCUGUCACUUAUAGAUGGAUCCGCGCUGCAUUAGCUAGUUGGUAAGGUAACGGCUUACCAAGGCAACGAUGCAUAGCCGACCUGAGAGGGUGAUCGACCACACUGGAACUGAGACACGGUCCAGACUCCUACGGGAGGCAGCAGUAGGGAAUCUUACGGAAUGGGCGAAAGCCGGACGGAGCAACGCCGCGUGAGUGAUGAAGGUCUUCGGAUCGUAAAACUCUGUUAUUAGGGAAGAACAUAUGUGUAAGUAACUGUGCACAGCUUGACGGUACCUAAUCAGAAAGCCACGGCUAACUACGUG
Molecule: ribosomal RNA, 497 nt
Filed under: uncultured bacterium
Lineage: Bacteria
Description: partial 16S ribosomal RNA
Rfam family: Bacterial small subunit ribosomal RNA
Source: RNAcentral